AGUUUGAUCCUGGCUCAGGACGAACGCUGGCGGCGUGCUUAACACAUGCAAGUCGAACGAUGAAGCCCUUCGGGGUGGAUUAGUGGCGAACGGGUGAGUAACACGUGGGCAAUCUGCCCUUCACUCUGGGACAAGCCCUGGAAACGGGGUCUAAUACCGGAUAACACUCUGUCCCUCAUGGGGCGGGGUUAAAAGCUCCGGCGGUGAAGGAUGAGCCCGCGGCCUAUCAGCUUGUUGGUGGGGUAAUGGCCUACCAAGGCGACGACGGGUAGCCGGCCUGAGAGGGCGACCGGCCACACUGGGACUGAGACACGGCCCAGACUCCUACGGGAGGCAGCAGUGGGGAAUAUUGCACAAUGGGCGAAAGCCUGAUGCAGCGACGCCGCGUGAGGGAUGACGGCCUUCGGGUUGUAAACCUCCUUUCAGCAGGGAAGAAGCG
RNAcentral lists this ribosomal RNA (439 nucleotides) under Streptomyces bottropensis. Its description in RNAcentral is "bacterial SSU rRNA". It matches the Rfam family "Bacterial small subunit ribosomal RNA", at positions 10 to 452 of the family's 1533-position model. The record is from RNAcentral. Lineage: Bacteria; Bacillati; Actinomycetota; Actinomycetes; Kitasatosporales; Streptomycetaceae.